RNAcentral lists this ribosomal RNA (370 nucleotides) under uncultured organism. Its description in RNAcentral is "bacterial SSU rRNA". It matches the Rfam family "Bacterial small subunit ribosomal RNA", at positions 526 to 896 of the family's 1533-position model. The record is from RNAcentral.
CGUAGGGUGCGAGCGUUAAUCGGAAUUACUGGGCGUAAAGCGUGCGCAGGCGGUUAUGUAAGACAGAUGUGAAAUCCCCGGGCUCAACCUGGGAACUGCAUUUGUGACUGCAUGGCUAGAGUACGGUAGAGGGGGAUGGAAUUCCGCGUGUAGCAGUGAAAUGCGUAGAUAUGCGGAGGAACACCGAUGGCGAAGGCAAUCCCCUGGACCUGUACUGACGCUCAUGCACGAAAGCGUGGGGAGCAAACAGGAUUAGAUACCCUGGUAGUCCACGCCCUAAACGAUGUCAACUGGUUGUUGGGAAUUAGUUUUCUCAGUAACGAAGCUAACGCGUGAAGUUGACCGCCUGGGGAGUACGGCCGCAAGGUUG